Molecule: long non-coding RNA, 733 nt
Filed under: Numida meleagris (helmeted guineafowl)
Lineage: Eukaryota; Metazoa; Chordata; Aves; Galliformes; Numididae
Description: lncRNA (ENSNMEG00000000328.1)
Source: RNAcentral
CGCAACGUCACCCGGUUGUCACCCAGUGUCACCUGGUUGUGUCACCCUGCAAUGUCACCCGGUUGUCACCCAGUAUCACCCGGAGGUGUCACCCAGUGUUGUCACCCAGCAGUGUCACCCGGUGUUGUGCUGUUACCCAACAAUGUCACCCGGUUGUCACCCGGCGCUGUCACCUGGUGUUGUCACCCACUUAUCACCCAGCGUCACCCGCUGGUGUCACCCGGCAUCGUCACCUGCUGGUGUCACCUGGCACUGUCACCUGGCACUGUCACCCGGCGGCGUCACCCCGCGGUGUCACCCCCACCCCCAGCCUGGCAUUGUCACCCAUUGUCACCCAUUGUCACCCGGCAGUGUCACCCCAACCCAACACCCCCCUGCAGCGGUGGUACCUUGGUAGGCGGUGUCCCACGGCGCGGUGACGUCAGGCGCUGGUGGCUCGCUGGGGGCUGUGGGGGUGUCACCGGCUGUCCCCAUUUGUCCCCACAUUGUCCCCGUUUGUCCCCACAGUGUCCUUGCUUGUCCCUGUUUGUCCCCAGGGGUCCCUGUCUGUCCCCAACGUGUCCCCAUCCGUUCUCACGGUGUCACCAGGGUGUCCCCAUUUGUCCCCAUGUGUCCCCAUUUGUCCCCAUUCAUCCCCAGCUGUCCCUGUCCGCCCCCAUUUGCCCUCAGCUGUCCCCAAAGCGUCCCUGUUUGUCCUUAAAGUGUCCCCUAAGUGUCCCCCUCCAUCCUCGGG